Molecule: ribosomal RNA, 469 nt
Filed under: uncultured bacterium
Lineage: Bacteria
Description: partial 16S ribosomal RNA
Rfam family: Bacterial small subunit ribosomal RNA
Source: RNAcentral
GGACGAACGCUGGCGGCGUGCUUACCACAUGCAAGUCGAACGGAAAGGCCCUGCUUUUGUGGGGUGCUCGAGUGGCGACCGGGUGAGUAACCCGUGAGUAACCUGCCCUUGACUUUGGGAUAACUUCAGGAAACUGGGGCUAAUACCGGAUAGGAGCUCCUGCUGCAUGGUGGGGGUUGGAAAGUUUCGGCGGUUGGGGAUGGACUCGCGGCUUAUCAGCUUGUUGGUGGGGUAGUGGCUUACCAAGGCUUUGACGGGUAGCCGGCCUGAGAGGGUGACCGGCCACAUUGGGACUGAGAUACGGCCCAGACUCCUACGGGAGGCAGCAGUGGGGAAUAUUGCACAAUGGGCGGAAGCCUGAUGCAGCAACGCCGCGUGCGGGAUGACGGCCUUCGGGUUGUAAACCGCUUUCGCCUGUGACGAAGCGUGAGUGACGGUAAUGGGUAAAGAAGCACCGGCUAACUACGUG